Molecule: long non-coding RNA, 1460 nt
Filed under: Mus musculus (house mouse)
Lineage: Eukaryota; Metazoa; Chordata; Mammalia; Rodentia; Muridae
Description: predicted gene, 35268
Source: RNAcentral
AAUUGUGACUCUUGCUCUAUAGCGAACACCAAACAUCUAUUGGCUAUAAAAGGAAGUUAUUGGUGAUUGCUCUUGUCAAUCUGCCAGGACUUAGAAUCAUCUGGGAGGCACACCUGCAAGUGUGUUUCCAGAGAGGAUAAAGUGAAGAUGGGAUCUCAAAGUGGGAUUUCAUCUUCUAGGAGCAUAGAAUAUGGACUCAGUAAUCUUGCAUCAUCAUGAGAAGCCAUGCACUUACUUGGAGCAAACCCGGAUGAGCAGGGAUCCUCGGCGGCAGCCUUAGCAGUGUCUCUCGCCCCAGACUGCCAGUUGGUAUGCAUCCCAUCUCAGGAGGAAAUGAUGGUUAAAUACCAAAACAUCUUCCAGUGUCAGCCCCACAUGGAACCCUCAAGAACAGUCCAGUUUACUGACCUCUCCCAUAGUUAUCUAACAUCAGCUGACUGCAAUAAAAUGUAAGCUGCAUCAAGAUCUGUGUCUUGCUUCGCCAUCAUCACAGAAGCUUCCUCCCACAGUAGAUGGGAACAAAUUCAAAGACCGAUGUCCAAACAAUUCGCAGAGAGAGAGAGAGAGAUACAAGGGAUGUCUCCAUCAAUCCCCCCCGCCCGCCCCCACAACAAGGCCUUAGGGAGCUCUGCAGAAGAGGGGGCAGAAAGAUUGCAAGAGCCAGAGGAGAUGGACACCAAAGAAUCAAGGUCUUCUAGCUACAAGACUGGAGCCCAUAUGAAUUCACAGAGACUGUGGCAGCAUGCACAGAGCCUAUGCGGACCUGCACCACAUGGGGUCCUAGAGCUGAAAGCCUUGGGCACAUGCCCUCAUCCCUAUCAUAGAUGCUCUCUCCAAUUGAUAGGCACUUGCAAAGGAAAACUUAGUUUUCUCUAAGGGAGACUCAUAGGAGAAACAAACCAGUCCUAAGGCUAGGCCCCAUGCCCAGCAGUAGAUGGCCAACACAAAACUAUCUCAAUGGUCUUGUCAGAGGUUCUUUGUCUCAAAAUGUUAAGUCGGGGCUUUUUUUUUUUUUUUUUUUUUUUUUAAACCUUACAGCAGGUCCUCUGUGAAUGUACUAUGGCUUCUGGUCUUGAGGUUUUAUAUGAUUCUCUCUCUCUCUCUCUCUCUCUCUCUCUCUCUCUCUCUCUCUCUCUCUCUCUGUGUAUGUGUGUGUGUGUGUGUGUGUGUAGAUGUUCAUGUGUCUCUGGGUCUAUAUGUGUUUCUUGUUCUUUUUCUCCUGCUCUUUUUCUUCUUGGUCACUGUGUCAUACUCUGAUUUGUUUGAUUUAUUUUUAUUUUCUUAUCAUUUCUUAGAUGCUUAUUUUUUCCCCCUUAGGGAAAGACAGAAAGGGUGUGAAUUUGAAUGGGAGGGUAAGUGGGAAGAAACUGGGAGGAGUGGGGAAGGGGAAACCAUAAUCAGAAUAUAUUGUAUGAAAAAAAAUCUAUUUUCAAUAAAAAGAAAAUUCUAGAGGAUCUAAA